GACGAACGCUGGCGGCGUGCUUAACACAUGCAAGUCGAACGGAAAGGCCCUGCUUUUGUGGGGUGCUCGAGUGGCGAACGGGUGAGUAACACGUGAGUAACCUGCCCUUGACUUUGGGAUAACUUCAGGAAACUGGGGCUAAUACCGGAUAGGAGCUCUUGCUGCAUGGUGGGGGUGGGAAAGAUUCGGCGGUUUGGGAUGGACUCGCGGUUUAUCAGCUUGUUGGUGGGGUAGUGGCUUACCAAGGCUUUGACGGGUAGCCGGACUGAGAGGGUGACCGGCCCCAAUGGGACUGAGGUACGAGCCAGACUCCUACGGGGGGCAGGGGUGGGAAAUAUUGCAAACUGGGCGGAAGCCUGGUGCAGCGACGCCGCGUGCGGGAUGACGGCCUUCGGGUUGUAAACCGCGUUCGCCUGUGACGAAGCGUGAGUGACGGUAAUGGGUAAAGAAGCACCGGCUAACUACGUG
Molecule: ribosomal RNA, 468 nt
Filed under: uncultured bacterium
Lineage: Bacteria
Description: partial 16S ribosomal RNA
Rfam family: Bacterial small subunit ribosomal RNA
Source: RNAcentral